Molecule: long non-coding RNA, 475 nt
Filed under: Amborella trichopoda
Lineage: Eukaryota; Viridiplantae; Streptophyta; Magnoliopsida; Amborellales; Amborellaceae
Description: long non-coding RNA (ATRI_LNC000432)
Source: RNAcentral
UCCCCCAACUCUCUCUCUCUUUUCUAUUUUCCCCAUCCCGUCAAUCUCUCUCUCCACCCAAGAACGUCUCUCUUUUCUAUUUUUCCCAUCCCGUCUAUCUCUCUCUCCACCCAAGAACGCCGCCCUGCUCCAAAUCUGGCAAACCCUUGAUGGGUUCUCCCUGUUUUUUCCCAUUGUUCUCUGCUAAAUCUGACUCCCCACUCUCAAAAUAACGAGAGAGCUUCCAAUUAUGAGCAGGCCAAUAUCAGGAGAGCAAAUGCUAUGAGGCCAAGCAUACCAACAAGGCCCCCAAACAAAUAAGGCACAUGACAGUGCCAUGGAGAAUGCACUGCUGAAGCAGCCGUGGUAUUAAAGCUAUUAUCAGGACUCAUUUCAGUAGAGAGAAAAAGUAGGGAGAGAGUUUUUCAUAAUAGUAGAGAGAGAAGGGAAAGGAAUUGAACGAGAGAGAGAGAGAGAGGGAGAGAGAGAGAGAGAA